GGGUUGGACACUAUGGUGCCACUUUUGGCCAUGGUGAUGCUAUUCCAACGCACUACUACAAAAGUUAAUCACACAACACUAAUCAUACAACGGAACAGAAAUCAUUUGUUGUGUGUUUAAGUAAGCUUUAUUGCACAACGGUACUUGUUUAUUCUGUUGUGUGAAUGCCAACAAAGUGAAAACUUUUUUAUCAGAACUACAUUGCACAACGAUAAUGAAGUAAUGUCUAUCGUCUGAGUCUUAAAAAAUUUAGCGGUAGAUUUCCCUCCACUUUGGAGUCUUGGUUGGCUCUUGAAACACUGAAAUUUGGGCUACUAGGACAGCGGGUUUUACUAUGUCCGUUGUGUGAUUGAAAAACUAAGCAUCAAAGUUUGAGGAAGCUUGCUUGAAUAUCUUCCCCUAGAUACGCCUAGUGCAAGCUGUUGUAAUUGUACAACAGAUUUAAGAUUUUCUGUUGUGUGAAGAUGGAACUGGGCGGCAACAUUUUGAGCCAAAAUGCUGAAUGAGCCAUGUUUCCCUCCAUGAUUUCACAUUUUGAUUUUUAGUGCUGCACUCAGACGACAGUUGGUGAGAUUUCUGUUGUGUGAAUAACUUGGAGAAUUUUUAGCCAGGUUUAAUUGCACAUCGUGUACAAAAGAAAGAAAGAAAAAGAAAAAAAACACAGCCCUUCUCUCGACACUCGAACCCAUCUCUGCUCUCUCUCGACCUUAAACCUAGAAACCCAUCUCUUACAAACCCAUCUCGAUCUCAGGCAGUACUACCUUUCGAACCCUUUUCCGGCGAAUGGCUUCGAUUUCAUAUGAGCCUCUUCCUUCCCCUUUCUCACAUUCACCCUCUUCUCCCUCACUGUGACCGUCCUCAACAGCUUCCUCCGGGUUUUGGUUUUUCUCCGCUUCCCUUCCACCUCCCGCACCAUCUCUCUCUCGCGGCUCGCUUCUAUAAGUCUUUCUCACAUUCCGGCUAAUGGAUUCUGAUUCUGCUAUGAAGUUAAUUUCUUCAUUUUGGGUUGGAUAGGCUGAGCUUCCUUUAGUUGGAAAUAGUGAGAAUCUAAUUCAGAUUGUUGUGGGUUUGAUUGUUUAGGUUACCUUAUUUCUCCGAUUGGAAGAGAAGCAACAAAUAAAAGGCAGCUUCGUGUACGAAUCGGAGCACAGUUCAAGAAGCAGCGAAGUUAAUGAACUGGAAAAUCACAAUCUGCCGGUCUAGAUUUUGAUAAUCUGAGAGCUUUGGACACUAGCGACAAAUUCAAAGCUUUGGCACUGAAUUUUGGUUGUGAUUCAGGUGCUCCAUUUCUUUGGCAGAUUUAUGAAUGUAUUAUGACUAUUUCCUUGUUUUUGCAUGAUUUAUUAAUGUCUUGGCAUCUCCUUGUCUUCGCUGGACAUCAUCAUUGUUUCUUCUUUAUUGUUUUAGGGUAGGGCACUGUAGGGAACAAAUAUGGGAAUUUUUAAUUGAGAAGAAGUGUGUUAAUACUUCUUUGUGAGUUUGUGGGGACUGGUACAUGUAAUCUUCAGUUUUGUUGAAAGCACAAAAAUAAUGUUGCAGUCAAUGUUUCAAAUAGAAAAUUUUUAGUACACUUGGUAUGAAGACUUCGUGUGAGCUCAUGAGUUUGGUUGAUUUGUUUCUUAGGCAUAAUGCAUAGCUGAAAGCUAACAUAUUUUGGCUGCAAUGUGCGAAACCUAUGUGUUUCAAGAACCCUAGUGGAAUGGAAAUCAGAGUGGACAUAUACAUGCUACCACUAAUGGAUCAUGUCCCGUAAAAAAAAACUAACAAAAUUGGUUUUCUGCCCUUGGUGAAGAAUUUUCAGUACAUUUUGUUUGUCCUUUUAUUUCUGACAGACUCAAGCAUUACUUUUGGUUUGCAUUGCUUUGUGCUGGAACUAAUUGCUUUCUUUUCAGGCAAGUUCUCUUUUUCUAGAACUUAAUUAGUAUCAUAAAUUUGGCCAUAUUCUGUGAAUUUCAUGGAUACCUCUUUAAUCUUUUGAUUGCAUGGUGUUUGAUGUGCACUGUAUGCCAUUAAUGGAUGUAGUAAAACUUCUCUGACAUCAUUUUAGAAAAGUACUCUUGCUUAUUGUUAAUUGAAGUCUCAUUUGCAUUUUCAUAUUAUCUGCAACUUAAUUUCUGUUGUCUUCCUAUAUGUGUGGAAAAUUUUUCCGUCGUGAAGUUUAAUUCAAUGGGCAUGGAUAUUUAUUCGUUUAUUUGGGCAUGGAUAUUUUUCCUAAUUGACUCAUUGUUUUGCUCUUUGUCAUGUAUUCUUUUAAAAAAGUGAUUACUGAAUAAGUAAUCCACUAUGCUACUUUUGUAUAUACUUUGCACAGUAAGUAAUGUUUAUGGCCUCUUUUUAUGCUUUUAGGAAGAUCUAAAAUUUUCUUGUUUCAUGUUAUUAUUAGGUAUGGCCACCUGAUGGCUUUGGAUUAGUGGAUGAUCGACUAAGCGUAAAGAAGCUUAUAUUGUUAAAGAUAUAUCUCUAAUUGAAUUAUAUUUCCAUUGAAUUUUGUUCGUAUCCCUGCAAUGCUUUUGUUCGUGUCAUUGAAUUAUCUUCCAAGAAUGUCACAAAAUACCUUCUCAAUUCAUACCGUAAAUCUUUCGAUUCAGUUCUUCUUGUUAAUAUAUUUUCCAUUAGUACUUUGCUGAAAGAACUAGUGAACUUCACUAUAAAGGGUUAGAGGUGUGACCGUCAUCUUGUGCAUUAUUCAUGACCAUUGAACUUCUCGUUGUCUAUUCUGUCUCGUAUUCCAGAGAAGCAAUCAUGUCAUAUGUGCUUACCUUAUGAUAUAUUCAGGGAGCACUUAGAGUUUCCAUGACAAGUCCAGGAUUUAUCUAUGAGCCUUAUGCACCUCGUGAAAAAGUUCAAUUUUUCCGGAGGAACUAAAGAAUGAAAUAAAACAGAGAUAAUCCAUAUGGAGUGAGGUUUAUUGGGAAAAGGUUGAGCCAAUUGUAAAAAUACGCACCUUGCGAGCACGAUGG
Molecule: long non-coding RNA, 2960 nt
Organism: Rosa rugosa (rugosa rose)
Lineage: Eukaryota; Viridiplantae; Streptophyta; Magnoliopsida; Rosales; Rosaceae
Exons: 3
Source: RefSeq, a predicted model, not a curated record